This 253-nucleotide ribosomal RNA is filed under the name uncultured bacterium. RNAcentral's name for it is "partial 16S ribosomal RNA". It matches the Rfam family "Bacterial small subunit ribosomal RNA", at positions 524 to 776 of the family's 1533-position model. The record is from RNAcentral.
GACAGAGGGUGCAAACGUUGUUCGGAAUUACUGGGCGUAAAGCGCGUGUAGGCAGCCCCGCAAGUCGGAUGUGAAAGCCCUGGGCUCAACCUAGGAAGUGCAUUCGAUACUGCGGGGCUUGAGUCCUGGAGAGGAAGGCGGAAUUCUCGGUGUAGAGGUGAAAUUCGUAGAUAUCGAGAGGAACACCGGUGGCGAAGGCGGCCUUCUGGACAGUGACUGACGCUGAGACGCGAAAGCGUGGGGAGCAAACAGG